GACAGAGGGUGCAAACGUUGUUCGGAAUUACUGGGCAUAAAGCGCACGUAGGUGGUCCACUAAGUCGAGUGUGAAAUCCCCCGGCUCAACCGGGGAACUGCGCUCGAUACUGGUGGACUCGAGGUCGGUAGGGGUGAGCGGAACUCCAGGUGGAGCGGUGAAAUGCGUAGAUAUCUGGAGGAACACCGGUGGCGAAAGCGGCUCACUGGAUCGAAUCUGACACUGAGGUGCGAAAGCUAGGGCAGCAAACGGG
RNAcentral lists this ribosomal RNA (253 nucleotides) under uncultured bacterium. Its description in RNAcentral is "partial 16S ribosomal RNA". It matches the Rfam family "Bacterial small subunit ribosomal RNA", at positions 524 to 776 of the family's 1533-position model. The record is from RNAcentral.